UAAAAGAUAAGCUAAAUUAAGCUAAUGGGCUCAUAACCCGUCUAUGAACUUUCUCUUUUAU
Molecule: transfer RNA, 61 nt
Filed under: Pseudoniphargus sp. 2-Canaries
Lineage: Eukaryota; Metazoa; Arthropoda; Malacostraca; Amphipoda; Allocrangonyctidae
Description: tRNA-Met
Source: RNAcentral